Molecule: ribosomal RNA, 445 nt
Filed under: uncultured bacterium
Lineage: Bacteria
Description: bacterial SSU rRNA
Rfam family: Bacterial small subunit ribosomal RNA
Source: RNAcentral
GUAAGGAAUAUUGGACAAUGGACGCAAGUCUGAUCCAGCCAUGCCGCGUGAAGGAUUAAGGUCCUCUGGAUUGUAAACUUCUUUUAUAAGGGACGAAAAAAGGCUUUUCUAAGUCGUCUGACGGUACCUUAUGAAUAAGCACCGGCUAACUCCGUGCCAGCAGCCGCGGUAAUACGGAGGGUGCAAGCGUUAUUCGGAUUCACUGGGUUUAAAGGGUGCGUCGGCGGGCAGGUAAGUCAGUGGUGAAAUCCUAGAGCUUAACUCUAGAACUGCCAUUGAUACUAUCUGUCUUGAAUAUUGUGGAGGUAAGCGGAAUAUGUCAUGUAGCGGUGAAAUGCUUAGAUAUGACAUAGAACACCUAUUUCGAAGGCAGCUUACUACGCAUAUAGUGACGCUGAGGCACGAAAGCGUGGGGAUCAAACAGGAUUAGAAACCCCGGUAGUCC